CGCCCCUCAAGUCCCCUGUGGACUUGGUGUUGGGGAUCGGCGAGGCUGGUUUUCCAGCACAGCCGUCCCUUAAAUUAAUUGGCGGUCUCGCCGUGGCCCUCCUCUGCGCAGUAGUAAAGCACUCGCAACAGGAGCCCGGCGCGGUCCACUGCCCGUAAAACCCCCCUAACUUUUUAUAG
Molecule: unclassified non-coding RNA, 179 nt
Filed under: uncultured Metarhizium
Lineage: Eukaryota; Fungi; Ascomycota; Sordariomycetes; Hypocreales; Clavicipitaceae
Description: sequence contains ITS2
Source: RNAcentral